UGGGGAAUAUUGCACAAUGGGCGAAAGCCUGAUGCAGCGACGCCGCGUGAGGGAUGACGGCCUUCGGGUUGUAAACCUCUUUCAGCAGGGAAGAAGCGAAAGUGACGGUACCUGCAGAAGAAGCGCCGGCUAACUACGUGCCAGCAGCCGCGGUAAUACGUAGGGCGCAAGCGUUGUCCGGAAUUAUUGGGCGUAAAGAGCUCGUAGGCGGUUAGUCGCGUCUGCUGUGAAAACUCGAGGCUCAACCUCGGGCUUGCAGUGGGUACGGGCUGACUAGAGUGCGGUAGGGGUGACUGGAAUUCCUGGUGUAGCGGUGGAAUGCGCAGAUAUCAGGAGGAACACCGAUGGCGAAGGCAGGUCACUGGGCCGCAACUGACGCUGAGGAGCGAAAGCAUGGGGAGCGAACAGGAUUAGAUACCCUGGUAGUCCAUGCCGUAAACGUUGGGCGCUAGGUGUGGGGUCCAUUCCACGGAUUCCGUGCCGCAGCAAACGCAUUAAGUGCCCCGCCUGGGGAGUACGGCCGCAAGGCUAAAACUUAAAUGAAUUGACGGGGUCAUAGCUGUUUCCU
This 568-nucleotide ribosomal RNA is filed under the name uncultured bacterium. RNAcentral's name for it is "partial 16S ribosomal RNA". It matches the Rfam family "Bacterial small subunit ribosomal RNA", at positions 355 to 1375 of the family's 1533-position model. The record is from RNAcentral.